Molecule: ribosomal RNA, 253 nt
Filed under: uncultured bacterium
Lineage: Bacteria
Description: partial 16S ribosomal RNA
Rfam family: Bacterial small subunit ribosomal RNA
Source: RNAcentral
UACGUAGGGUGCAAGCGUUAAUCGGAAUUACUGGGCGUAAAGCGUGCGCAGGCGGUUUCGUAAGCUUGAUGUGAAAUCCCCGGGCUCAACCUGGGAACUGCAUUGAGGACUGCGAGGCUAGAAUACGGCAGAGGGGGGUGGAAUUCCACGUGUAGCAGUGAAAUGCGUAGAGAUGUGGAGGAACACCGAUGGCGAAGGCAGCCCCCUGGGCCUGUAUUGACGCUCAUGCACGAAAGCGUGGGGAGCAAACAGG